RNAcentral lists this ribosomal RNA (1019 nucleotides) under uncultured Actinomycetes bacterium. RNAcentral's name for it is "bacterial SSU rRNA". It matches the Rfam family "Bacterial small subunit ribosomal RNA", at positions 28 to 1049 of the family's 1533-position model. The record is from RNAcentral. Lineage: Bacteria; Bacillati; Actinomycetota; Actinomycetes.
GACGAACGCUGGCGGCGUGCUUAACACAUGCAAGUCGAACGGAAAGGUCUCUUCGGAGAUACUCGAGUGGCGAACGGGUGAGUAACACGUGGGUAAUCUGCCCUGCACUUCGGGAUAAGCUUGGGAAACUGGGUCUAAUACCGGAUAGGACCAAAAGGCACAUGCCUUGUGGUGAAAAGCUUUUUGCGGUGUGGGAUGGGCCCGCGGCCUAUCAGCUUGUUGGUGGGGUGACGGCCUACCAAGGCGACGACGGGUAGCCGGCCUGAGAGGGUGUCCGGCCACACUGGGACUGAGAUACGGCCCAGACUCCUACGGGAGGCAGCAGUGGGGAAUAUUGCACAAUGGGCGCAAGCCUGAUGCAGCGACGCCGCGUGGGGGAUGACGGCCUUCGGGUUGUAAACCUCUUUCACCAUCGACGAAGGUCCGGGAUUUCUCGGAUUGACGGUAGGUGGAGAAGAAGCACCGGCCAACUACGUGCCAGCAGCCGCGGUAAUACGUAGGGUGCGAGCGUUGUCCGGAAUUACUGGGCGUAAAGAGCUCGUAGGUGGUUUGUCGCGUUGUUCGUGAAAUCUCACGGCUUAACUGUGAGCGUGCGGGCGAUACGGGCAGACUGGAGUACUGCAGGGGAGACUGGAAUUCCUGGUGUAGCGGUGGAAUGCGCAGAUAUCAGGAGGAACACCGGUGGCGAAGGCGGGUCUCUGGGCAGUAACUGACGCUGAGGAGCGAAAGCGUGGGGAGCGAACAGGAUUAGAUACCCUGGUAGUCCACGCCGUAAACGGUGGGUACUAGGUGUGGGUUUCCUUCCUUGGGAUCCGUGCCGUAGCUAACGCAUUAAGUACCCCGCCUGGGGAGUACGGCCGCAAGGCUAAAACUCAAAGGAAUUGACGGGGGCCCGCACAAGCGGCGGAGCAUGUGGAUUAAUUCGAUGCAACGCGAAGAACCUUACCUGGGUUUGACAUGCACAGGACGCGUCUAGAGAUAGGCGUUCCCUUGUGGCCUGUGUGCAGGUGGUGCAUGGC